UGGUGGAUUGCUCUGUCUGGUUAAUUCCGUUAACGAACGAGACCUCGACCUGCUAAAUAGCUCCGUUCAAGCCUUCGGGCUGGACUGGUCAGGCUUCUUAGAGGGACUAUCGGUGUAUAGCCGAUGGAGGUUCGAGGCAAUAACA
This 145-nucleotide ribosomal RNA is filed under the name uncultured eukaryote. Its description in RNAcentral is "partial 18S ribosomal RNA". It matches the Rfam family "Eukaryotic small subunit ribosomal RNA", at positions 1299 to 1458 of the family's 1831-position model. The record is from RNAcentral.